CUGCGUUCAAGUCGCGUAGAGACUGAUAGGACAGCUUCGAGGAAACACAAGUGGUUUAUCGGAAGGCAUCUUGUGCGCAGAGCUCUGAACAGCUAACUAGCGGUAAAAUGGCCGCCGCGACUAGCUUCCGCCCCUCAUACGUUGCGGGAUGGCGCCGCGGAUCAUCUAGCGCCAACUGUGCUGGAGCGCAUGAGCAAAAAAAAACAAAGCGGUGAAGAAACAAGCGCUCGACCGCCCCUAUCGUCCUGGCGGAAGGCGCAUUCGCCGUCAGACCCAACAAUAUGAUAAAACAGUGAAAAACAGGACAACACUUUACAGUUGGGCUCGGUUUGUUAUUGCAUGACCAAUCACGUGCAAACAAUUAAUAAUACUUAUAAGACGUUUAUUAAACUUUGUUAAUAUCUACUUCUUUUUUAAACAUUUGAACAUGAAUGCAAUUAUGAACUGACCUAAACAAUACGUAAGUCCAGAUGCUAAUUGUUUGUUUAUAUCUAAUGCAUUAUUACUCCUUAAUUGAAUCUUUUUUAAAGCAUUACCAAAGUGGCAAUGCAUUGCUCACCUAAUUCUAAAUCAACUUCGGCUGAUACUUAAAUGAUUCCGUAUAAAAGUAUACUGUGGCCUAAAUUCACCAACUCAAAAUGAAUAAGAAAUUGACAAAACACAGCAUAGGUCAGCCAUAAAGGUCAGUCUUCUUGAUCUGACCUGCAUUCCCAAAAUGAGCUAUCAACAUUUUAAACUGUAAUCUCUUUCAUGCAUAAACUAAUCUGACAGAAAAAGAAAUACAAAAACAUGUGUAAAACAACAUUUUUUAUUUUUUAUGUGAUCUUGUCAUGCUAGAAAUAACUAUCAGGAUGUGUUGCCGCCAUGGCUGAUAUGUGAGGGAUGAGUAAACAUGAACCCUAACAUUAAAAGGAUGAGUGGAUGUGCUGUGGGCAUGAGCAAACAUGGCUUCUUACAACACAGACUGCGUUCCCUGUGAUCAGAAAGUGCUGCACUAGGGUGCGCCCUUUCCUUUCAAACGUUUUAGAAACACAAGAAGAUUGUUGACCAUUUCUGAGGGAAAGGGUAAAGACAAAAACAGUGUUGGAAGGAUUUACCCUUUGUUCUCUGCCAGAGAGGCUGAAUGAAACGACACAGUCAGCCAUCAUUCAACACCUGUCAUUCAGCAACCCCAUCUGCUGGGCUCCUGCCUGAACCUGUAGAGCCUCUCACCUCAGCCCCCCGUUAAAAGUGCUGGAAUCAAAAUGUUUGGCUUUGAAGUGAAUCUAAAAUAGAUGGGUGCAAUGUCCCAUCCCCUUUUCUUUUCAGUGCAAUAUAAUGUCUGUGCUUAACACAUCUUACAACAGCUUGUAACGGCUACCUCUGCUUGCCUUUGUCAGUGUGAAUGUUGGAUUAACUGAAUUUUUAAUACGUGAAUUUUUAAUGACCAUCAAUGGCAGUGCCAUUGUAAAUGUAAGCUUUGUUUAAAUUAGUCAACAAAGACCACAAGCAACAUUUUUAUGAAUGCAGUGUUUUUACCAAAAUUCAACAGUACUGGAUGCCAAUCUGCUUAUUCAUAGAGGUACAGAUGAAAAAUGUAAUGUAAAGAAAUAGAUGUAAAUAAACAUAAACAUAAAUUCUAAUUUUGGGGUGAACUAUCCCUUUAAGCAGUUGAAGGAAUGUUAUUUUCAUGUUAAUACAAAAACGUAUACCUUAUUUUUCAUGCUAACAGACUUGUUCAUUUUCGAGGCCAUGUCUGUUCCCCUGCAAAAUGUAAGUUAGGCUUGACUCAUUUGUGUACAUUAU
Carassius gibelio (silver crucian carp) is the source of this 1785-nucleotide long non-coding RNA. RefSeq lists it as uncharacterized. Lineage: Eukaryota; Metazoa; Chordata; Actinopteri; Cypriniformes; Cyprinidae. The transcript is spliced from 3 exons. The record is from RefSeq and is a predicted model, not a curated record.